This 254-nucleotide ribosomal RNA is filed under the name uncultured bacterium. RNAcentral describes it as "partial 16S ribosomal RNA". It matches the Rfam family "Bacterial small subunit ribosomal RNA", at positions 524 to 776 of the family's 1533-position model. The record is from RNAcentral.
UACGUGGGACCCAAGCGUUAUCCGGAAUUACUGGGCGUAAAGAGUUGCGUAGGUGGCAAAGUAAGCAGGGUGUGAAAGCGUGCGGCUCAACCGCAUAGACAUAUUCUGAACUGCUUAGCUAGAGAACGAGAGAGGUACCUGGAAUUCCUAGUGUAGGAGUGAAAUCCGUAGAUAUUAGGAGGAACACCGAUGGCGUAGGCAGGGUACUGGCUUGUUUCUGACACUAAGGCACGAAAGCGUGGGGAGCGAACGGG